Molecule: long non-coding RNA, 7199 nt
Organism: Motacilla alba alba
Lineage: Eukaryota; Metazoa; Chordata; Aves; Passeriformes; Motacillidae
Exons: 2
Source: RefSeq, a predicted model, not a curated record
CAUUCAAACAUACAAAAAAAAAAUCAAUCUGAUCGACUUGUACCUAUUCUUCAAAUUUUGUUGCUGUUUAAGAGUUUGAAUUGUUGCCUCCCAUAAGGCUGCUCUGAUUCAUGGCAACACUCAGGCAUUGUGUGCUUGGUAAAUCCCAGCAGAUAUUUCCACUCAGAUUUUGCAGCAACAGUUAAAACCCUGACUGACUCAGAAUAUAGAUUAGGGCACACACCAACCAGCUUCAUUUCAACGUGUUCCUCCUAUGGAGCAGCUCACUCAAGGCAUCUGUGAGGUUUAACAGUAAAACUAAAACGACCCCCCAAACCAGGAAUUAUGCAUGCAAUAUAUUUCCCACUGAGAUAAGCAAAUGGAAAUUGGCUGAGCCAGGCAUUUCAUCCAGCUCACAGCUGACAAGGGGUCAUUCCCUGCAGUGUAUUUAGCAAUGAUUUGUCCAGCCUAGUGUUGAUUAUCUAAAACAACACAGAACUGCCUCCAUUUCUCCAGGGAGAUUGUUUGCAGCCAAGCUCAUUGGCAAAAGGCUUCUCCUAACAUCUUGUUUUCCUCAGCCUUCAGCCACACCAAUUCCAAACCCAUUUCUGUGGGUUACCCCCAUGCAGCCAUUUUGUACUGAGCUACAUCUUGGCUUUCUUUAAUCAUCACUUAGUCAGACUUACAGCUUUAAUUCUUGUAAUCUUCUGCCAUUGCCCAAUUCUUUCCUCUCAGUCACAGCAGCUGUUCUUUUGUAGCCCCUCCAAUUUGGCUACUGCCUCCUGGUAUAGAUCUAGCCCAACAUGAACAAGUUUGGCUUCUCCCAGGAGAGGCAGAUCAAUACCUUCACAGCUGUGCUGGGUGGAGGAUUCCUUCCAGCUUCACAGAGCUCCUGCAGAACAAAGAUCCUGAGCAGUUCAGGGAAGAAGCAGCUGGAGCACUGACAGGGACUCUUCCACACCUGCAGGAAUACAAGAGCCAUCUCGGGUAUUGUGUCUCAGCCACCCCACAGAAAAUAUCCCACAGGGGAGAAGAGCCACAACAAAGCAGUGUCACCCCCAGUUACCAUUUUCCAUGGAUGAGAGGGGAGAAAAGGAAGGGAUGAUGUGCACUUUUUACUAAAGACAGAAGAAAGCCCUUGUCUCCUUACCAAGGGCCCCAAUAUCAGGAUCAGCUGUGCCAAUAACAAGCUGUGUUAUUACCUCUGCUGUACAAAGCAAUUUGGUUUUUAUUGACCACUCACUAUACAGGGCACUACAACACUCUCCCCUCAUUAGAGCCUGUCAGUCAGAAGGCAAAAGAAGGCAAAAGCAGAUUUAAGGAGAAGGCAGCUCUUUGCAGUCAUGAAGAUAACCUUGCUCGAGCAAAAGCAUUGACAGCAGGCAGGCAGGACUGCAAUGAGGAGCUGCAAAUGAUCAGGCAGCUGGGAAUGGCAGACAAUGGAAGAAAAACCUUGGUGCAGGUAGAACAAUUUACCUCCCCUGUACAGGAAAACACCUACAAAAUUACAUCCAAACGCAGAACAGCGAGGAAAGUUUUGUUAGCUGUGGUUUUGUUUCUUCUGCUCCCUCUGUAAGUCUGCCAGAUGACCUUUGCUUGCAAUAGACUUCAAAUACUGGGAGCUCUUCUUUGUGUCUCCUUGGAGAAAAUGGUCAGGAAUCAAUAUUUCCACUGAUCAUUUCAUUUGGUCUCCUUCUCAAGUGAGUGUUCCCACAAUUCAAUCCCACCUCAGCCACUCCACCUUUAACAUUUCACCUUUCCUUACUGGCUGAGUGCAGGCAACUCUGGGUUUGAGUCUCAGCUGCUGUGAGGGAAUGCCAAGGGGGAAUGUUUUAAGGCCAAACACAUAACAGACAGAAUAUGCAGAGGAUGUUCCGUUUGGAGAAAACUGCAUUCAAGAGAUUUAGGCCACUCCAGUGCAACAACCAGCAACCACCUGCAUCAGGAAAGUUUGUUCUAACCUAAAGUAAGGUACAGUAAGGAAAUCCAAAUUCCAAGUACUUUUUAUAAUUUAGCUCCCUGGGAAAACACCACCCACCCAGAGGCUUGAGGCAAUGCAGAACUGGCUGCUUGGGAGGUGCAGGGUGGAGAAGAGAGGCUAUUUCUGGCAUUACCCCUCAGUGGUAGGAUGAGAACCACAGGCUGAACUGUAAGAAACAUCUUGAAGCCUGGAAUUUCGUGCUGAAGGACAUAUGCUUUUGAGGGAUGGGGGAUUAUCAGGAAGAACACUUCACAGGAAUGCUGUGCCCUCCUCAUCCCUGCCAACCCAACCCGUUUGCAGAAUUGAAACGCAAGGUUAGAUCCCAGCACCUCAGGAAGAGCACAACUACAGAUGUCCCAAAUCACCAUCAGUCUAACUUCAAAUAGAUCAAGGACUUGCCCCUCUGAGAUAGCGUGGCCAGAAUUACUUUAAAAGUAACCUUCUAUCCUUAAUUUGUAUCUGGACACCAAGGUUCAGAGCAUCAGCUCCUCGUCUGCCCUCGCUGGCAAGCUGACAGCAGAGAACACACAGACCACAGGGCUGGGGAGCAGCAACAAGCCCAGAUGAUCCCGAAUUCCUGCCUGCCUGAGACUGCAGGAGACACAGGGCUGGGAGAAACAAUUUUGUUCAAGACCCAGUCCACAAACACUGCCUAAGUUCAGCUUACAAACCUAAAAGAGCAGCUGGGCACAUACAAGCACAGCUCCAGCACCUGGAGCUCAAGAAAAGGCACCUCAGUGAACCUCGCUGGGUCACUGACAGGAAAACUUUUCCCUUCAACAGAAGUUUCCCACCAGAGUUUUGUGAUUUGGCCCUGAAUCCAUGACGCAGAUGUUGAUGGCUGGAAACAGAAGCUGAGCAGAGGAAAAUGCAGACUUUGGGAACAAUGGGUCAGCUUGGCUGCUUGGGAGUUCAGAAGGAGAAAAUGAGAUGCAUUAAAAACUUCUUUCUGGUCAAUCUUUAUUUUACACAUUUGCAUCACAGCAGGGAAACCAAGUUACACAGACUGUCCUGACUUGUCUCUACCUUGCUUCUCUUCAAACGCUGUUUGCUGUUCUUUUAAUAAAGUUUAAAAAAAUACUGAAAAAAAUUCAUUUUUACAUCUGAACAGGAACUGAAGAAUAGGAUAUUUACAGGUCACCAAAACCCCAGGAACUGGACCUUGCUGUACACAGAAAAGUCUUUUUUAGUUCUUCUGGAGGUAAUUUACUGAAUGAAUUCAAAGCUACAUUGUACAAGGUGCCCUAAAGCUGCUUAAUGACACAAGAGGAUUUAGAAUUAAUUAUUAAUAGUUUCUAAAGGGCAAGGGAAGCUAUUUAGACCCAUACUCUGUUUUGACAGAGCAGGUACCAGCUCCACUGGCUGCAGGAUGAAGUGCUUCCGAUGAUGUCGAGGUCGGACUCUACUUUAGUACACAGAGAGCAGAACACUGAGUGAAAUCCCACAGGGAAAUAUUUAUUUAGAAUUGUCCUUUCUAGAGGAUUGCUGCAGUCAAAACAUAAAUGGGUUCUUGAGCCAGUCAGCCUAAAAGGAGUGACUCUAUUCUCAGCCACUUUCUUCCUACACCACUCAACACCCGAGUAUUGAUAUUUUCCUACAUCCUGUUCCAGCCACUUGGGAGCACAGAUCAUGUGCAGCUCUCACUGGAUCACUGCUAUAUCCAGGCAAGACACUACAAAGGGAAAUGCACAGCUUCCCAGUAUUGCCAAGGAAAAGUGAUUAAUCAGCCCAAAAGUAUUGUAUCCAGCAGCUACAAAAAAAAAAGAAGCCAAAUUAAUUCAAUUUAGAACAACGUUUUACAGCAUAUCAGCCCCAGGGAACACAAAGAAACAUUGGUCAAGUGUCUCUAGGCAGCACCACCUCAGCUUUCAUGAAACAUUGAGGCUACUGACACCACACACAAGGUCACAGUUUCAGUGUGAGUCCCACUAUGUUCAAACCUCACUGCACCUCCCACUCCUGCAGACCACAGCUCCUCACUCUUGGUACACAAGUGAAAAAUGGGGAUGUGCUCUAUAAGUGAAGCAGAGAUCACAACAGAGGAGCUAUAAAACAUCUUCUUUAAAGUGACAGCAAUCUGUUAGCUAGCAUGACAGGUCAAAUUGAAGGAGACAAACCAAGUAGGCUAAAGGAAGAAAGAUUUCCUUCCCUCUCCUUAAUGGCUAAAGAACUCCAGUUCCCAGAGCUCAAUAGAGCCUACAAUACCCAGUAUUUGCUUCAAAUUGGGCAGUUUUCAAACUAACAACAAAAUCACCUCCCUUCUCAUCAAUUUGAUUGUCAGUGGCUCAACUGCUUUUGUCUAAGAGGAACACAAAGUAAGGAAAAAAGACUUAACACAAAAAUCUUCUACAGGACUUGCACCAGAUGUGCACGCUGGAGUGAUCAGAACUUGGCCUUUCAUGGCCAGAAGGAAUGCUACAGUGCUCAAGGACACAUGGUGGAUGCACACUCAUGCCAGAGAGAGUCCACUCAGCUUAGAAAAAAUACAUCUUCCACAUUACGAGCUCCAGACAAAAUGCUGCAAUGCAGCAAAUUUUUACAACAUGCUCUCCCAGGGCAUGCCAGCAUGGCAAUGCAGGAGCAGGGCACUGAGCUGGAGGGAAACACUGAACAAUGCACUGCACACAUCACAACACGCCCAGUUAGACGGCAACAUGAAAGAGCAUCUGAACAGGACAGCAUGUGGCUUCUUCAACUCCAACUGCUCCACUCGGAGCAGGCAGCAGCACCGUUCCACAUGACCCCAUUAUGUCUUGCUUUCUUUUAGUAUGUCUCUUGAUGAACCAUCAAGGAAAACAUUUUCCAGCCCGAAGAAUGCAAGAGGCUGGCAGAUGCACUGCAAGGAGGCUUCCUCUGGAAGACAGCCUGCUGAGCAGCCACGGCAGGAAGGAGUGCAGCAGUGCCAUGUGCAUGUCAGCAUCCACAGGGAUUUACUGGGGCAUAACCUGCAUUACAAGUGAAGACUGAGCCAAUCUCAUUUUUGUCUGCAGAGGGGACCGAGCGCUCGGCUGCAGCAGCAUAUGGGAAAGCAUUCAAACUGUUUAUUACCAUUGCAGCAGACCUGCUGUUCCAGGACUCCUGUCACUGCUGCUGGGUACUGCUGGUGAUUGCUCCAGCUCCUCACUUCAGUAAAAGCAGCGACAGGGAAGCAAAGCUGCACACUCCUAAACGAUCUGUAAUCCGCAACAGCUCCUCUCUUCCCUCCCUGUGAGAGGCAGAGCUUCCUACCAGGUAAGCAGCCAUCGUGAAAGGCAAGCACUGAUUAUCCUGCCCGGGGAGCUCCAAGUGCUGCACUCCACUAGCCCUGGAGUCGUGCAGUGCCACUGAUGCAGCUGUGGGUUUGCCUGGGAAGGAGGGGAGGGAGUAGUCCUGUCUUUGAUGCUUUGCAGUGCAGCACUUGCUGUGCUGGAGAGAAGCACAACUGCAGCCAUCCCCUCCACUCUGCAACUUCCCAGCUGCCACCUAUCCAUCACAUCCAUCAAGACAGACUUUCGGUCCUGGUCCAAGGAAUUGCACCAGAGAAAAUUCAUUUUGGAAAUGGCCACAAUAAGAAUCUUUUGGGUUUUGACUUGUCCGUGACUGAUUUUCCUUCCUAAUGCUCAGGUCUGACCAUUUCCUGCUGCUUGGUAUCCUGUGUAGAACACCAGAAGCUGACUCUGGAGCUGACUGCUGAAGCUCAGGGCUGAACUUGGAAAAAGCUCUUGUAAAAAAAAUGGACUUCCAGAACACUGCUGUGGCUUUUCAUGCCAAGACAAAAAGAAAUGACCCAUUUUUUGGCCUUUGACUGGUGAGCCAGGAACUUGGCAGAUAAACCCACACCAUAUGCAACUUUAGAAAAAAAGUGCAUAUUAAAAAAAAAAAAAAGAAACCUGAGACUAAGGUAACAGCACUUGCCAAAUUGUCAGGUCCACUGAUGCUGAGGUAUGGAAUAAGCAGCUGUUUGGAAGCAGCUCAGCAUUCCCUGGGAUCACAGCACAGCCCUGGUGGUUCUGGGUGAAAUGCCACACCUCUGACAAUUUCACAUCUCAUUCACAAAAGGAUUAACAGGCUCUAGAAUAGCAUUGCCCAGAUGCACUUUGUUCCUGACAGCACAACCUUAUCCCUUACAUACCUCAGUGCCAACACACUUCAAGUCUUCAGUGGGCUUCUCUGAACAAACUUUACAGCCUGUCUGAGCAGCCCUUUGGAUGCAGGGAGUGACAAGGGACAGAGUAACUACAGAGGAUGAGUUUUCCUGGUAUUGCAUUUAAAUGUAAGAGCUGGGACUGCUUGUGUUUGUUUCUGGUCCAAUUUCUCACACUUCAGGUUAAAUAUGUAGAUUUCUUCCUCCAGAAGGCCCAAAAGUCACCAAACAGCCUUUUUAUGGUACAGGAUCUCUCCUCACUAAAACUGUCUCACUGCAAGGCAAUGACAGCAAAGCAGAAUCACUGCUGUGACUGCUGUGAAGUUACAGCUGAGGAGGAAAUCAGAAGAGGAUUCUGCAGCCAGAGACAAAUGCUCUUCUUCUUGUGCUUUAUGUGAAGAGAAAGCAGUUCCAGGUAUCAAACCAGGUAGAUUUGUUUCUACCACCUCCACGGGGCAUAGAGCCAACACCUGGGAAAAGAAGUGGCAAUGGGGGCAAGGGAUGCUGCUCCUCAAACAGCAAGGCUUGCUACAGACAGCUCACCAAGAGCUCCACAACCCCUGCUCAGGAGUGAGGAAGUGGUUCAAGAUUCUGGAGGAAAUCCUCCUUCUCAGCUUGAAUAAAAUAAAUUUUAGGUUAACAGUCCUUUAAUCAGGUGUGGCCAGAAAUGUAGUCCUUCCAAAAAACCAAUUCCUGAACGAGUCUGUAAGCGAUGCUGGCACAUCCAGAGCUCUGCUGAUGCCUCUCCCUGACAGAAGCAUUUGGCUCCACAGCACCACAUGUCAAUGUCUCUGCAUGAAUAUUAAGGCUUCAGUGGGUCAGUGACUUACAGCUGAUUUAUUUUUGUUAAAGCUAAUCCUCAUUCCACCAGUGAGCCACUUCCAUCCUCCCCCAAAUGAGCACCCAUUUUCACUACUACAGCUCUGGACACCAACUGCCCUACUGACAACCCCAGGGACUGCAGAGAAAAACAUAUGUGGCAUUUUGGAGUGUGUCUGUAAAGACUCCACUGCAAGUCUGCAGCUAACAGUCAAGGAUUCCAUAUUCCCCUGCAUCAAGGUUCUGGUCAUAAUCUUCUCCUCUCCUGACCAAAAGAAAAAAAAAAAAAAAAAAAAA